RNAcentral lists this ribosomal RNA (648 nucleotides) under uncultured bacterium. RNAcentral's name for it is "bacterial SSU rRNA". The stretch from base 1 to 550 matches the Rfam family "Bacterial small subunit ribosomal RNA", at positions 338 to 873 of the family's 1533-position model. The record is from RNAcentral.
CCUACGGGAGGCAGCAGUAGGGAAUCUUCCGCAAUGGACGAAAGUCUGACGGAGCAACGCCGCGUGAACGAUGAAGGCCUUCGGGUCGUAAAGUUCUGUUGUUAGGGAAGAACAAGUGCUAGUUGAAUAAGCUGGCACCUUGACGGUACCUAACCAGAAAGCCACGGCUAACUACGUGCCAGCAGCCGCGGUAAUACGUAGGUGGCAAGCGUUGUCCGGAAUUAUUGGGCGUAAAGCGCGCGCAGGCGGUUUCUUAAGUCUGAUGUGAAAGCCCCCGGCUCAACCGGGGAGGGUCAUUGGAAACUGGGAAACUUGAGUGCAGAAGAGGAAAGUGGAAUUCCAAGUGUAGCGGUGAAAUGCGUAGAGAUUUGGAGGAACACCAGUGGCGAAGGCGACUUUCUGGUCUGUAACUGACGCUGAGGCGCGAAAGCGUGGGGAGCAAACAGGAUUAGAUACCCUGGUAGUCCACGCUGUAAACGAUGAGUGCUAAGUGUUAGAGGGUUUCCGCCCUUUAGUGUCUGUAAGUUAACGUACAUAAGUACACUCCGCCGUCGGGAGGUACGGUCGGCGAACGACGUAGAACGUACGAAACGGAAAGUUAGUACGGACGUGAGACGUGCCGAACGGACGACCGACGAGGGAGGUAGG